Molecule: ribosomal RNA, 253 nt
Filed under: uncultured bacterium
Lineage: Bacteria
Description: partial 16S ribosomal RNA
Rfam family: Bacterial small subunit ribosomal RNA
Source: RNAcentral
UACGGAGGUUGCGAGCGUUGUUCGGAAUGACUGGGCGUAAAGGGAGCGCAGGCGGCUUUUUAAGUCCGGCGUGAAAGCCCGGGGCUCAACCCCGGCGGGUCGCCGGAGACUGGGAGGCUCGAGUACGGAAGAGGCGAGUGGAAUUCCGGGUGUAGCGGUGAAAUGCGUAGAUAUCCGGAGGAACACCGGUGGCGAAAGCGGCUCGCUGGUCCGAUACUGACGCUCAGGCUCGAAAGCGUGGGGAGCAAACGGG